This 78-nucleotide transfer RNA is filed under the name Rhodospirillaceae bacterium. RNAcentral describes it as "tRNA-Val". It matches the Rfam family "tRNA". Rfam says of the family: Transfer RNA (tRNA) molecules are approximately 80 nucleotides in length. Their secondary structure includes four short double-helical elements and three loops (D, anti-codon, and T loops). RNAcentral also lists the same sequence under 3 other names. The record is from RNAcentral. Lineage: Bacteria; Pseudomonadati; Pseudomonadota; Alphaproteobacteria; Rhodospirillales; Rhodospirillaceae.
GGGCGCGUAGCUCAGUUGGUUUAGAGCGCCGUCUUCACACGGCGGAGGUCACAAGUUCAAAUCUUGUCGCGCCCACCA